GAUGAACGCUGGCGGUAGGCCUAACACAUGCAAGUCGAACGGCAGCACAGGAGAGCUUGCUCUCUGGGUGGCGAGUGGCGGACGGGUGAGGAAUACAUCGGAAUCUACUCUGUCGUGGGGGAUAACGUAGGGAAACUUACGCUAAUACCGCAUACGACCUACGGGUGAAAGCAGGGGACCUUCGGGCCUUGCGCGAUUGAAUGAGCCGAUGUCGGAUUAGCUAGUUGGCGGGGUAAAGGCCCACCAAGGCGACGAUCCGUAGCUGGUCUGAGAGGAUGAUCAGCCACACUGGAACUGAGACACGGUCCAGACUCCUACGGGAGGCAGCAGUGGGGAAUAUUGGACAAUGGGCGCAAGCCUGAUCCAGCCAUACCGCGUGGGUGAAGAAGGCCUUCGGGUUGUAAAGCCCUUUUGUUGGGAAAGAAAUCCAGCUGGCUAAUACCCGGUUGGGAUGACGGUACCCAAAGAAUAAGCACCGGCUAACUUCGAGCCAGCCGCCGCCGUAA
This 506-nucleotide ribosomal RNA is filed under the name uncultured bacterium. RNAcentral describes it as "partial 16S ribosomal RNA". It matches the Rfam family "Bacterial small subunit ribosomal RNA", at positions 28 to 523 of the family's 1533-position model. The record is from RNAcentral.